This 28-nucleotide non-coding RNA is filed under the name Mus musculus (house mouse). Lineage: Eukaryota; Metazoa; Chordata; Mammalia; Rodentia; Muridae. The record is from RNAcentral.
UCGAUAAUGCCUCUCCUGGUGUGUGUGU